RNAcentral lists this transfer RNA (74 nucleotides) under Bacillus atrophaeus UCMB-5137. Its description in RNAcentral is "tRNA-Val". It matches the Rfam family "tRNA". From Rfam's summary of the family: Transfer RNA (tRNA) molecules are approximately 80 nucleotides in length. Their secondary structure includes four short double-helical elements and three loops (D, anti-codon, and T loops). Further hydrogen bonds mediate the characteristic L-shaped molecular structure. tRNAs have two regions of fundamental functional importance: the anti-codon, which is responsible for specific mRNA codon recognition, and the 3' end, to which the tRNAs corresponding amino acid is attached (by aminoacyl-tRNA synthetases). tRNAs cope with the degeneracy of the genetic code in two manners: having more than one tRNA (with a specific anti-codon) for a particular amino acid; and 'wobble' base-pairing, i.e. permitting non-standard base-pairing at the 3rd anti-codon position. Lineage: Bacteria; Bacillati; Bacillota; Bacilli; Caryophanales; Bacillaceae. The record is from RNAcentral.
UGAUUCCGUAGCUCAGCUGGGAGAGCGCUACCUUGACAGGGUAGAGGUCGCUGGUUCGAGCCCAGUCGGAAUCA